Molecule: ribosomal RNA, 218 nt
Filed under: uncultured bacterium
Lineage: Bacteria
Description: partial 16S ribosomal RNA
Rfam family: Bacterial small subunit ribosomal RNA
Source: RNAcentral
CCUGGCUCAGAUUGAACGCUGGCGGCAUGCCUAACACAUGCAAGUCGAACGGCAGCACGAUCUAGCUUGCUAGAUUGGUGGCGAGUGGCGGACGGGUGAGUAAUGCGUAGGAAUAUGCCUUAAAGAGGGGGCCAACCUGGGGAAACUCAGGCUAAUACCGCAUAAUCUCUUCGGAGAAAAGCUGGGGACCUUCGGGCCUGGCGCUUUAAGAUUAGCCU